RNAcentral lists this small nuclear RNA (63 nucleotides) under Salmo salar (Atlantic salmon). The record is from RNAcentral. Lineage: Eukaryota; Metazoa; Chordata; Actinopteri; Salmoniformes; Salmonidae.
AGAAGAUUAGCAUGGCCCCUGCGAAAGGAUGACACGCAAAUCCGUGAAGCGCUCCUUAUUUUC